UGAAAAGGAAAAGAAAAAUCGUUACAAGGAGUAGCUGAAGCAGAGAAGUAAUGAACUCCCUUUUUCUUUUUCAAAUGAAAGUCUCGAAGGAAACUGCGAGAUAGAAAAUUACUGACUCGCUGCAGGUUGCCUUAUUUGGCCUAUAACUAGGCAUCAAUUUGCAUGUUGAAGAGGAGGCUAGGAGAUUGCUUGUGCUGAUUUAGUUUAUUUUUCCUUUUACUUUUGGACUCAUUUCGUGGGCUUAUUGGAGAGUUUUUCUUGUUGUAUUGUGAGGUUUUUGAGGUGAAUGAUUUGUAACAAGUUGGGAUUAGUUAUUGGGACUACAAUCACUUCUUUGUGUAAGGGUAGAUUGAGAUUUAACCAAUAACUUCUUGGAGCAAUUGUUGAAUAAAAUUAUUUACUAAGCAAGGUUUCGCGAA
Molecule: long non-coding RNA, 419 nt
Organism: Gossypium arboreum
Lineage: Eukaryota; Viridiplantae; Streptophyta; Magnoliopsida; Malvales; Malvaceae
Exons: 2
Source: RefSeq, a predicted model, not a curated record